UUUCUCAGGAUGGGUGCCUUCCGGCCUGCCUUGGUUCCUCAAAGUGAAAACCGGCCAUUCCCGCCGGGCCUUUGGCCGACUCACCCAUGGUGCGUGGACCGUGGGCGUCCUUGCUCUAGCCCAAGCCUACUCCUCCUCUGGGUCCCUGUCCCUCUGUGAGGCAUCGAGGCCCUGAAGACAGCCCAUGAGAUGUGGGACCCUCCCACACACCCCCACACUUAUCUACCACCCACCUGACCAGGCCCCCUGUGCCCUACAGCUGAGAGAGGACCCAGCAGAAGGGAGGGCGGCUCACUAGCACACCCCUGCAUGGACUGGGUGCCCUGUUCUCCAUGUGAGGCCUAAUGGGAAGGAGUUCAUUGCCAUGCUUUGGCAACCAGUACGUGGCUCCUGCUUGUCAUGGCAGCCAGAGGGAAACUGAGGCACAGAACCUGCUAGAAUCUGGGAAAGUUGAAAAUACUCCCAGGAACCUUUUCUCCUAACCUAACCACUGGGCAUCUUUGAGGACGAUUCAACAGUAGAAGAGAGGGACCUUGAGGAAGGUGCCUGUCACAUCAUGAUGCAGACAGAUAAGGGACUCAGAGACGGCUGAGGAUGACAUCAGCGAUGUGCAGGGGACCCAGCGCCUGGAGCUUCGGGAUGACGGGGCCUUCAGCACCCCCACGGGGGGCUCUGACACCCUGGUGGGCACCUCCCUGGACACACCCCCGACCUCCGUGACAGGCACCUCGGAGGAGCAAGUGAGCUGGUGGGGCAGCGGGCAGACGGUCCUGGAGCAGGAAGCGGGCAGUGGGGGUGGCACCCGCCGCCUCCCGGGCAGCCCAAGGCAAGCACAGGCAACCGGGGCCGGGCCACGGCACCUGGGGGUGGAGCCGCUGGUGCGGGCAUCUCGAGCUAAUCUGGUGGGCGCAAGCUGGGGGUCAGAGGAUAGCCUUUCCGUGGCCAGUGACCUGUACGGCAGCGCAUUCAGCCUGUACAGAGGACGGGCGCUCUCUAUCCACGUCAGCGUCCCUCAGAGCGGGUUGCGCAGGGAGGAGCCCGACCUUCAGCCUCAGCUAGCCAGCGAAGCCCCACGCCGCCCUGCCCAGCCGCCUCCCUCCAAAUCCGCGCUGCUCCCCCCACCGUCCCCUCGGGUCGGGAAGCGGUCCCCGCCGGGACCCCCGGCCCAGCCCGCGGCCACCCCCACGUCGCCCCACCGUCGCACUCAGGAGCCUGUGCUGCCCGAGGACACCACCACCGAAGAGAAGCGAGGCAAAAAGUCCAAGUCGUCCGGGCCCUCCCUGGCGGGCACCGCGGAAUCCCGACCCCAGACGCCACUGAGCGAGGCCUCAGGCCGCCUGUCGGCUUUGGGCCGCUCGCCUAGGCUGGUGCGCGCCGGCUCCCGCAUCCUGGACAAGCUGCAGUUCUUCGAGGAGCGACGGCGCAGCCUGGAGCGCAGCGACUCGCCGCCGGCGCCCCUGCGGCCCUGGGUGCCCCUGCGCAAGGCCCGCUCUCUGGAGCAGCCCAAGUCGGAGCGCGGCGCACCGUGGGGCACCCCCGGCGCCUCGCAGGAAGAACUGCGAGCGCCAGGCAGCGUGGCCGAGCGGCGCCGCCUGUUCCAGCAGAAAGCGGCCUCGCUGGACGAGCGCACGCGUCAGCGCAGCCCGGCCUCCGACCUCGAGCUGCGCUUCGCCCAGGAGCUGGGCCGCAUCCGCCACUCCACGUCGCGGGAGGAGCUGGUGCGCUCGCACGAGUCCCUGCGCGCCACGCUGCAGCGCGCCCCAUCCCCUCGAGAGCCCGGCGAGCCCCCGCUCUUCUCUCGGCCCUCCACCCCCAAGACAUCGCGGGCCCAGAGCCCCGCCGCUGCCCAGCCGCCCCCUCCGAGCAGCGCGGGGAAGCCGGGGGACGAGCCUGGGAGGCCUAGGAGCCGGGGGCCGGCGGGCAGGACAGAGCCGGGGGAAGGCCCGCAGCAGGAGGUUAGGCGUCGGGACCAAUUCCCGCUGACCCGGAGCAGAGCCAUCCAGGAGUGCAGGAGCCCUGUGCCGCCCCCCGCCGCCGAUCCCCCAGAGGCCAGGACGAAAGCACCCCCUGGUCGGAAGCGGGAGCCCCCGGCGCAGGCCGUGCGCUUCCUGCCCUGGGCCACGCCGGGCCUGGAGGGCGCUGCUGUACCCCAGACCUUGGAGAAGAACAGGGCGGGGCCCGAGGCAGAGAAGAGGCUGCGCAGAGGGCCGGAGGAGGACGGUCCCUGGGGGCCCUGGGACCGCCGAGGGGCCCGCAGCCAGGGCAAAGGUCGUCGGGCCCGGCCCACCUCCCCUGAGCUCGAGUCUUCGGAUGACUCCUACGUGUCUGCUGGAGAAGAGCCCCUAGAGGCCCCCGUGUUUGAGAUUCCCCUGCAGAAUGUGGUGGUGGCACCAGGGGCAGACGUGCUGCUCAAGUGUAUCGUCACUGCCAACCCCCCGCCCCAAGUGUCCUGGCACAAGGAUGGGUCAGCGCUGCGCAGUGAGGGCCGCCUCCUCAUCCGGGCCGAGGGUGAGCGGCACACCCUGCUGCUCAGGGAGGCCAGGGCAGCGGAUGCCGGGAGCUAUAUGGCCACCGCCACCAACGAGCUGGGCCAGGCCACCUGUGCCGCCUCACUGACCGUGAGACCCGGUGGGUCUACAUCCCCUUUUAGCAGCCCCAUCACCUCCGACGAGGAGUACCUGAGCCCCCCAGAGGAGUUCCCAGAGCCUGGGGAGACCUGGCCCCGAACCCCCACCAUGAAGCCCAGUCCCAGCCAGAACCGCCGUUCUUCUGACACUGGCUCCAAGGCACCCCCCACCUUCAAGGUCUCACUUAUGGACCAGUCAGUAAGAGAAGGCCAAGAUGUCAUCAUGAGCAUCCGCGUGCAGGGGGAGCCCAAGCCUGUGGUCUCCUGGCUGAGAAACCGCCAGCCUGUGCGCCCGGACCAGCGGCGCUUUGCGGAGGAGGCUGAGGGUGGGCUGUGCCGGCUGCGGAUCCUGGCUGCGGAGCGUGGCGAUGCUGGUUUCUACACUUGCAAAGCAGUCAAUGAGUAUGGCGCUCGGCAGUGCGAGGCCCGCUUGGAGGUCCGAGGCGAGUGAGCUCAGGGGGCCACCUGCGCUCCCCCCGCUACCCUCCGAGCCGCGCCCCUGUCUCAGGCACCUCUCGGACCUCGCUGUGUUUCACUGCCUCCUGCCCACAGACCCAGGCCUGCCGGCCCGGACCCGUCCCAGCCUCCCCUCCCACCCCAUGCAGCCCCCAGGGGGAUAGCCCAUGGGCCCCUGUGGACCCUCCCUCCCCAAGUGGACACAUGGCUGUGCAGGCCAGGAGGCCCACAGAUGGACUGAGUGCUGGGAAGGGGUGGCUGCGAGGGGUAUCAACCCCCCGAGUCUCUCCCUGAAGGGGAGCACCGGGCGAGUGCAUGUGCUACUGCUGCUACAGGCCUGUCUAUCUGUUUGUCUGUCUGUGUGUCUGUGAUAGUCAGGGAAGGAUGCCUCGGAGCUGAGGUGGGGUGAGACAGAGUGGGAGAGAUUACGGCAUGGCAUGGAGGGGCCCAAGGAGCAGGGGCUGUUGACAAGGGCCUUACCAGGAAGGGUUAGGACACUGACCAUUCUAGAAAUGGGUUUCGAAUGGCACAACACUUUCUAUUCCACAAAAGACCAAAAGCCAGAGGCCCCAGGCUCUGUGCUGAUGAGCAGCCUGGCUGAGCCCUGGCCCUGGCAGGUUUAGGGCCCGUUUGGGGCCCCCUCCUUCUCUGUCAGGGCUGGGGUGCUCUGUCUGGGAAUGAGGGAGUUAACCAGGUUUGGUGCAGGAACAGGGGCAGGGGGCCACUGUAGUGAGCGUGGAGAGACUUGGAAACACCUAUUUCUUAACUCAAAUAAAGUCCAGUUUGUACCC
Molecule: small RNA, 3873 nt
Filed under: Pongo abelii (Sumatran orangutan)
Lineage: Eukaryota; Metazoa; Chordata; Mammalia; Primates; Hominidae
Description: processed transcript
Source: RNAcentral